AAUCAACGCUGGCGGCGUGCCUAACACAUGCAAGUCGAACGCGAAAGCCCGCAAGGGUAAGUAGAGUGGCGCACGGGUGAGUAACACGUGGACAACCUGCCUUCGAGUGGGGAAUAACCUUCCGAAAGGAGGGCUAAUACCGCAUAACACCUCGGGACACAAGUUUUGGGGUUGAAAAGAGCAAUUUGCUCGAAGAGGGGUCCGCGCCUGAUUAGCUAGUUGGUGAGGUAACGGCUCACCAAGGCUUCGAUCAGUAGCCGUCCUGAGAGGGAGCACGGCCACACUGGAACUGAGACACGGUCCAGACUCCUACGGGAGGCAGCAGUGGGGAAUUUUUGGCAAUGGGCGAAAGCCUGACCAAGCAACGCCGCGUGGGUGAUGAAGUAUCUUGGUACGUAAACCCUUUC
RNAcentral lists this ribosomal RNA (407 nucleotides) under uncultured bacterium. Its description in RNAcentral is "bacterial SSU rRNA". It matches the Rfam family "Bacterial small subunit ribosomal RNA", at positions 32 to 437 of the family's 1533-position model. The record is from RNAcentral.